This 77-nucleotide transfer RNA is filed under the name Bifidobacterium longum subsp. longum 35B. RNAcentral's name for it is "tRNA-Asn". It matches the Rfam family "tRNA". From Rfam's summary of the family: Transfer RNA (tRNA) molecules are approximately 80 nucleotides in length. The record is from RNAcentral. Lineage: Bacteria; Bacillati; Actinomycetota; Actinomycetes; Bifidobacteriales; Bifidobacteriaceae.
UCCUGCGUAGCUACAGUUGGCAGAGCAUCCGACUGUUAAUCGGACGGUCACUGGUUCAAGCCCAGUCGCAGGAGCCA